UGGGAUUUUCGAAGGGGCGUACGGGCAGGUGAAGCUGCACCAGAUUUUGUUCCCCUUCAAGAUUUUGUACACAUUUUAUCUGAAGGGGAUUGAGGAUUUGCCUGAGGAGCUUACAAAUGUGAAGGUUGUGGAGCCCGGCCCUGGUGUGGAGCCCAGCCCUGCUGCCAAUGCCUGUGAGGCCCAUGCCACCGUGUCCAACUUCACCAACUGAUGAGAAUUGCAGAAGGAAUGAGAGGAAUUGGAUGAAUUUGGUAUUUUAUUAAAUGUUUUGUGUGUUUUGAAGGCAAUG
This 289-nucleotide long non-coding RNA is filed under the name Malus domestica (apple). Its description in RNAcentral is "long non-coding RNA (MDOM_LNC007966)". Lineage: Eukaryota; Viridiplantae; Streptophyta; Magnoliopsida; Rosales; Rosaceae. The record is from RNAcentral.